UCCUUAUAAAGAGUGGCGGAGGGAUCGGCCCUGUGAAGCCCGGCAACCUGCACUUAGAUGCAAGGUGCUAAAUCCCGCAGCAUUUUGUGCUGAGAGAUAAGGU
This is a regulatory RNA element of Eubacterium sp. CAG:180, 103 nucleotides long. It matches the Rfam family "SAM riboswitch aptamer (S box leader)". From Rfam's summary of the family: The SAM riboswitch is found upstream of a number of genes which code for proteins involved in methionine or cysteine biosynthesis in Gram-positive bacteria. The record is from Rfam. NCBI's taxonomy places the organism in Bacteria, Bacillati, Bacillota, Clostridia, Eubacteriales, Eubacteriaceae.